GAUGAACGCUGGCGGCGUGCCUAAUACAUGCAAGUCGAGCGAACAGACGAUGAGCUUGCUCCUCUGACGUUAGCGGCGGACGGGUGAGUAACACGUGGAUAACCUACCUAUAAGACUGGGAUAACUUCGGGAAACCGGAGCUAAUACCGGAUAAUAUAUUGAACCGCAUGGUUCAAUAGUGAAAGACGGUUUUGCUGUCACUUAUAGAUGGAUCCGCGCCGCAUUAGCUAGUUGGUAAGGUAACGGCUUACCAAGGCAACGAUGCGUAGCCGACCUGAGAGGGUGAUCGGCCACACUGGAACUGAGACACGGUCCAGACUCCUACGGGAGGCAGCAGUAGGGAAUCUUCCGCAAUGGGCGAAAGCUUGACGGAGCAACGCCGCGUGAGUGAUGAAGGUCUUCGGAUCGUAAAACUCUGUUAUUAGGGAAGAACAAAUGUGUAAGUAACUAUGCACGUCUUGACGGUACCUAAUCAGAAAGCCACGGCUAACUACGUG
This 497-nucleotide ribosomal RNA is filed under the name uncultured bacterium. RNAcentral describes it as "partial 16S ribosomal RNA". It matches the Rfam family "Bacterial small subunit ribosomal RNA", at positions 28 to 507 of the family's 1533-position model. The record is from RNAcentral.